AGGGGUAACAGGGUUUGCUUGCAAACCGCUGACGACCGGCGCACGGGUGCGUAACGCGUAUAGAACCUACCCUUUACAGGGAGAUAGCCCGGAGAAAUCCGGAUUAAUAUCCCAUAGUAAUAUUUUAUGGCAUCGUAAAAUGUUUAAAGUUACGACGGUAAAGGAUGGCUAUGCGUCUUAUUAGCUAGUAGGUAAGGUAACGGCUUACCUAGGCUACGAUAAGUAGGGGCCCUGAGAGGGGGAUCCCCCACACUGGUACUGAGACACGGACCAGACUCCUACGGGAGGCAGCAGUGAGGAAUAUUGGACAAUGGGCGGAAGCCUGAUCCAGCCAUGCCGCGUGCAGGAAGACAGCCCUACGGGUUGUAAACUGCUUUUAUACAGGAAGAAUAAGGGGUACGUGUACCCUGGUGACGGUACUGUAAGAAUAAGGACCGGCUAACUCCGUGCCAGCAGCCGCGGUAAUACGGAGGGUCCGAGCGUUAUCCGGAAUCAUUGGGUUUAAAGGGUCCGCAGGCGGGCAAUUAAGUCAGGGGUGAAAUGCUGCAGCUCAACUGUAGCACUGCCCUUGAUACUGGUUGUCUUGAGUUAUAGUGGAGUGGCUGGAAUAUGUAGUGUAGCGGUGAAAUGCAUAGAUAUUACAUAGAACACCAAUCGCGAAGGCAGGUCACUAACUAUUAACUGACGCUGAUGGACGAAAGCGUGGGGAGCGAACGGGAUUAGAUACCCCGGUAGUCCACGCCGUAAACGAUGGAUACUAGCUGUUGGGUUUUUUUAACUCGGUGGCCAAGCGAAAGUGAU
This 801-nucleotide ribosomal RNA is filed under the name uncultured bacterium. Its description in RNAcentral is "bacterial SSU rRNA". It matches the Rfam family "Bacterial small subunit ribosomal RNA", at positions 65 to 861 of the family's 1533-position model. The record is from RNAcentral.